Molecule: non-coding RNA, 126 nt
Organism: Triticum aestivum (bread wheat)
Lineage: Eukaryota; Viridiplantae; Streptophyta; Magnoliopsida; Poales; Poaceae
Source: Rfam
GUAGUACUCCCUCCGCCCGGAAAUACUUGUCGGAGAAAUGCAUGUAUCUAGAUGUAUUUUAGUUCUAGAUACAUCCAUUUUUAUUCAUUUUCUCUGACAAGUAUUUCCGGACGGAGGGAGUAGUAA